GCCCACCCUGGAAACGGC
RNAcentral lists this small nuclear RNA (18 nucleotides) under Arabidopsis thaliana (thale cress). RNAcentral's name for it is "snRNA_16645". The record is from RNAcentral. Lineage: Eukaryota; Viridiplantae; Streptophyta; Magnoliopsida; Brassicales; Brassicaceae.